CCUACGGGGGGCAGCAGUGAGGAAUAUUGGUCAAUGGACGAGAGUCUGAACCAGCCAAGCAGCGUGAAGGAUGACUGCCCUAUGGAUUGUAAACUUCUUUUAUAAAGGAAUAAAACGAGGCACGUGUGCCUUGUUGCAGGUACUUUAUGAAUAAGGAUCGGCUAACUCCGUGCCAGCAGCCGCGGUAAUACGGAGGAUCCGAGCGUUAUCCGGAUUUAUUGGGUUUAAAGGGAGCGUAGAUGGUUUGUUAAGUCAGUUGUGAAAGUUUGCGGCUCAACCGUAAAAUUGCAAUUGAUACUGGCAGGCUUGAGUACAGUUGAGGCAGGCGGAAUGCGUGGUGUAGCGGUGAAAUGCUUAGAUAUCACGAAGAACCCCGAUUGCGAAGGCAGCUUACUAAACUGUGACUGACGCUGAUGCUCGAAAGUGUGGGUAUCAAACAGGAUUAGAUACCCCGGUAGUC
Molecule: ribosomal RNA, 460 nt
Filed under: uncultured bacterium
Lineage: Bacteria
Description: partial 16S ribosomal RNA
Rfam family: Bacterial small subunit ribosomal RNA
Source: RNAcentral